UGCCAGCCGCCGCGGUAAUACGAAGGGUGCUAGCGUUGUUCGGAAUUACUGGGCUUAAAGGGUUCGUAGGCGGCCACUUAAGUCAGGGGUGAAAUCCCACGGCCCAACCGUGGAACGGCCUCUGAUACUGAGUGGCUUGAGUGUGCUAGGGGUAAGUGGAACGUGUAGUGUAGCGGUGAAAUGCGUAGAUAUUACACGGAAGGCCGGAGGCGAAGGCGGCUUACUGGGGCACAACUGACGCUGAGGAACGAAAGCGUGGGGAGCAAACAGGAUUAGAUA
RNAcentral lists this ribosomal RNA (279 nucleotides) under uncultured bacterium. RNAcentral's name for it is "partial 16S ribosomal RNA". It matches the Rfam family "Bacterial small subunit ribosomal RNA", at positions 506 to 784 of the family's 1533-position model. The record is from RNAcentral.